RNAcentral lists this ribosomal RNA (523 nucleotides) under Xylaria sp. olrim65. RNAcentral's name for it is "eukaryotic LSU rRNA". The stretch from base 202 to 355 matches the Rfam family "5.8S ribosomal RNA". Lineage: Eukaryota; Fungi; Ascomycota; Sordariomycetes; Xylariales; Xylariaceae. The record is from RNAcentral.
UACAACUCCAAACCCGUGUAAACGUACCACAUUGUUGCCUCGGCCGGCUGUGCCUACCCCGUAGCCACUUACCCUGUAGCCACCUACCCCGUAGGAGUUACCCUGUAAGGACCUACUCUGUAGGCAUGUCCAGGGCCGGCCGAAGGCUCCCGAACCCUAGUUAAUAUACGUGACUUCUGAAAACGCAACUUAAUAAGUUAAAACUUUCAACAACGGAUCUCUUGGUUCUGGCAUCGAUGAAGAACGCAGCGAAAUGCGAUAAGUAAUGUGAAUUGCAGAAUUCAGUGAAUCAUCGAAUCUUUGAACGCACAUUGCGCCCAUUAGUAUUCUAGUGGGCAUGCCUGUUCGAGCGUCAUUUCGACCCUUAAGCCCUGUUGCUUAGUGUUGGGAGCCUACCUACCCUGUAGCUCCUCAAAGUUAGUGGCGGAGUCGGGUUACACUCUAAGCGUAGUAAUAUUUUCUCGCUUGUGUAGUUGUCCUGGUUCCUGCCGUAAAACACCUAUAUUUAUCUAGGUUGACCUCG